This 464-nucleotide ribosomal RNA is filed under the name uncultured bacterium. RNAcentral's name for it is "bacterial SSU rRNA". It matches the Rfam family "Bacterial small subunit ribosomal RNA", at positions 50 to 508 of the family's 1533-position model. The record is from RNAcentral.
AAUACAUGCAAGUCGAGCGAGAAGGUGUAGCGAUACACUUGUAAAGCGGCGAACGGGUGAGGAAUACAUGGGUAACCUACCCUCGAGUGGGGAAUAACUAGCCGAAAGGUUAGCUAAUACCGCAUACGAUUCCCGGUCUGCGGAUCGGGAAGGAAAGCGAUACCGUGGGUAUCGCGCUCCUGGAUGGGCUCAUGUCCUAUCAGCUUGUUGGUGAGGUAAUGGCUCACCAAGGCUUCGACGGGUAGCUGGUCUGAGAGGACGAUCAGCCACACUGGCACUGCGACACGGGCCAGACUCCUACGGGAGGCAGCAGUAAGGAAUAUUGCGCAAUGGGCGAAAGCCUGACGCAGCGACGCCGCGUGGGGGAUGAAGGUCUUCGGAUUGUAAACCCCUUUCGGGAGGGAAGAUGGAAUGGGUAACCAUUCGGACGGUACCUCCAGAAGCAGCCACGGCUAACUUCGUGC